GUUGGCCUAAAUCCGAGCCAA
Molecule: small nuclear RNA, 21 nt
Filed under: Arabidopsis thaliana (thale cress)
Lineage: Eukaryota; Viridiplantae; Streptophyta; Magnoliopsida; Brassicales; Brassicaceae
Description: snRNA_11450
Source: RNAcentral